RNAcentral lists this ribosomal RNA (775 nucleotides) under uncultured Neocallimastigales. Its description in RNAcentral is "partial large subunit ribosomal RNA". It matches the Rfam family "Eukaryotic large subunit ribosomal RNA", at positions 23 to 644 of the family's 3401-position model. Lineage: Eukaryota; Fungi; Neocallimastigomycota; Neocallimastigomycetes; Neocallimastigales. The record is from RNAcentral.
AGAGAGAGACAUGCGCGCAUAUCAAUAAGCGGAGGAAAAGAAACUAACAAGGAUUCCCUUAGUAACGGCGAGUGAAGCGGGAAGAGCUCAAAUUUGAAAUCUUCAAGGUUCUACCUUGACGAAUUGUAGUUUAUAGAAGUGUUUUCUGUUAGUGGAGUGGCAAAAGUUCUUUGGAAUAGGACAUCAUAGAGGGUGAGAAUCCCGUAUUUGGUCAUUCCUCCUAGCGUUGUGAUACACUUUCAACGAGUCGGAUUGUUUGGGAAUGCAGUCCAAAAUGGGUGGUAAAUUUCAUCUAAAGCUAAAUAUUGGCGAGAGACCGAUAGCGAACAAGUACCGUGAGGGAAAGAUGAAAAGAACUUUGAAAAGAGAGUUAAACAGUACAUGAAAUUGUCAAAAGGGAAGCGUUUGACACCAGUGUUGUUUUUCCGAAAAUCAAUUACGAAUGUUUUGUUUUUGAGGAGUUAUGACUUCAUCGGCUUGCUUCUUUCUUUACGAAACUUUCUUAAUGCACUUUUCGGUUAACAAGUCAACAUCAAUUUCUUUUGUUGUAAAAGGGUAUGAGGAAGGUGGCUUUCUUUUCGGAGAAAGUGUUUAUAGCCUUGUGCCUCUGCAAUCGGAGAGAUUGAGGUCUGCAGCGUAGAUCCUUCGGGGUUAGAUACAGUUUGUGCUAAGUUAUAGCUUUUCAUAGACAACUUGUUGACUAUGUUUAGUCUUGUAGCUUACUCGCUUAUGCUAUUUUACCUACGCUUAGGAUGUUGAUAGUCACAGCGUGUAC